Molecule: transfer RNA, 64 nt
Filed under: Paroligoneurus sp. QL-2014
Lineage: Eukaryota; Metazoa; Arthropoda; Insecta; Hymenoptera; Braconidae
Description: tRNA-Thr
Source: RNAcentral
AGUCUUAUAGUUUAAAAAAAACAUUAAUUUUGUAAAUUAAUAAUAAAAAAAUAUUUUAAGACUU